This 436-nucleotide ribosomal RNA is filed under the name uncultured Clostridium sp. RNAcentral describes it as "partial 16S ribosomal RNA". It matches the Rfam family "Bacterial small subunit ribosomal RNA", at positions 341 to 792 of the family's 1533-position model. Lineage: Bacteria; Bacillati; Bacillota; Clostridia; Eubacteriales; Clostridiaceae. The record is from RNAcentral.
ACGGAAGGCAGCAGUGGGGAAUAUUGCACAAUUGGCGCACGCCUGAUGCAGCAACGCCGCGUGAGGGAAGACGGUUUUCGGAUUGUAAACCUCUGUUCUUAGUGACGAAGAAGUGACGGUAGCUAAGGAGCAAGCCACGGCUAACUACGUGCCAGCAGCCGCGGUAAUACGUAGGUGGCAAGCGUUAUCCGGAAUUACUGGGUGUAAAGGGAGCGCAGGCGGGAUAGCAAGUCAGCGGUGAAAUGUAUGGGCUUAACCCAUGAACUCACGUUGAAACUGUUAUUCUUGAGUGGAGUAGAGGCAGGCGGAAUUCCGAGUGUAGCGGUGAAAUGCGUAGAUAUUGGGAGGAACACCAGUGUCGAAGGCGGCCUGCUGGGCUCUAACUGACGCUGAGGCUCGAAAGUGUGGGGAGCAAAUAGGAUUCGAUACCCUGGUA